UAAAACUUUAAUAAAAUGGCGGCAUAUCAUCUUACUAGAGGAACCCGUUUUAUAAUCGAUUGCACACGAUAAUUUUUACUUAAAUUACAAAAUUUAUAUAUCGCCGUUACAAGAAUCUAUUAUAAAAAUAUUAUUCUUAAUAAAAUUUAAGAAAUUAGGUCAAGAUGCAAUUAAUAUUUAAGAAAAAAUAGGUUACAUUAAAAACAAUUUAUAGAUUAUUUAAUUAAAAUAAUAUAUAAAAAAGGAUUUAUAAGUAUUAUCCAAUUAAAAAUAUAAAAAC
RNAcentral lists this ribosomal RNA (280 nucleotides) under Aulonia albimana. RNAcentral's name for it is "partial 12S ribosomal RNA". Lineage: Eukaryota; Metazoa; Arthropoda; Arachnida; Araneae; Lycosidae. The record is from RNAcentral.